This 401-nucleotide ribosomal RNA is filed under the name uncultured bacterium. Its description in RNAcentral is "partial 16S ribosomal RNA". It matches the Rfam family "Archaeal small subunit ribosomal RNA", at positions 473 to 873 of the family's 1478-position model. The record is from RNAcentral.
AUACCGGCUGCUCGAGUGAUGGCCACUAUUACUGGGUUUAAAGCGUCCGUGGCUUGACUGUUAGGUCUCUUGGGAAAUCUUUUGGCUUAACCAAAAGGCGUCUAAGAGAUACCGGCAUUCUUGGAACUGGGAGAGGUAAGCCGUACUUCGGGGGUAGGAGUGAAAUCUUGUAAUCCUCGAGGGACGACCUAUGGCGAAGGCAGCUUACCAGAACAGCUUCGGCAGUGAGGGACGAAAGCUGGGGGAGCAAACGGGAUUCGAUACCCCGGUAGUCCCAGCCGUAAACAAUGUGCGUUAGGUGUGUCGGUUACCACGCGUAACUGGUGCGCCGAAGAGAAAUCGUGAAACGCACCACCUGGGAAGUACGGUCGCAAGGCUGAAACUUAAAGGAAUUGGCGGGG